GCGUCGUUAGUCUAGUGGCCAUGACCUGAGCCUUCCAAGCUCAUGACCCGGGUUCGAAUCCCGGCCGACGCA
RNAcentral lists this transfer RNA (72 nucleotides) under Halobacteriales archaeon SW_7_68_16. RNAcentral describes it as "tRNA-Gly". It matches the Rfam family "tRNA". From Rfam's summary of the family: Transfer RNA (tRNA) molecules are approximately 80 nucleotides in length. Their secondary structure includes four short double-helical elements and three loops (D, anti-codon, and T loops). Lineage: Archaea; Methanobacteriati; Methanobacteriota; Halobacteria; Halobacteriales. The record is from RNAcentral.